GAUGAACGCUGGCGGCGUGCUUAACACAUGCAAGUCGAACGGAAAGACCCUGCGCUUGUUGGGUGCUCGAUUGCCGAGCGGGGGAGUGACACGCGUGUAAACCGUCCUUGUAUUUGUGAUAAAUUCUGGGGACAGGGGCUCAUACACGAUAGGAGCUACUGCUGCGCGUUGGGCAUUGGUAAGUUUCGGCUGUGGGGGAUGGUAUAGCGGCUUAUCAGCUGGAUGGUGGGGUAGUGGCUUACCAAGGCUUUGAAGGGUAGCCGGCCUGAGAGGGUUAACGGCCACAUUGGGACUGAGAUACGGCCCAGACGCCUACGGGAGGCAGCAGUGGGGAAUAUUGCACAAUGGGCGGAAGCCUGAUGCAGCAACGCCGCGUGCGGGAUGACGGGCUUCGGGUUGUAAACCGCUUUCGCCUGUGACGAAGCGUGAGUGACGGUAAUGGGUAAAGAAGCACCGGCUAACUACGUG
This 468-nucleotide ribosomal RNA is filed under the name uncultured bacterium. RNAcentral's name for it is "partial 16S ribosomal RNA". It matches the Rfam family "Bacterial small subunit ribosomal RNA", at positions 28 to 507 of the family's 1533-position model. The record is from RNAcentral.